This is an RNA transcript of Nicotiana tabacum (common tobacco), 1492 nucleotides long. RefSeq lists it as uncharacterized. The record is from RefSeq and is a predicted model, not a curated record. Lineage: Eukaryota; Viridiplantae; Streptophyta; Magnoliopsida; Solanales; Solanaceae.
UCCGCCAACCCCCCUCCCCUCCCCCCACAAAACAAAGGGAAAAAACCCCAAGACUUCUCCUGCAACUGCGAAUUAAACCUAUGUUUUGAACACAUAUUUCAUAAAACUGCAACUGCGAAGUAAAAUUCAGUGAAACUGCUGGUGUUCAAAUAUCAGUAUCAUCGUAGUAGAGAAACUACUCGUCACCUCCGUUGACAACAAAUGCUCAUCUUCGAAUUUCUUCUCAUCAGAUUGACAUGAAUACAUCAAAAUCUCAGACGACUAAAGGGGAAUCAACUUCAAAGUCUGCGAAGCCUGUGUACGUUCCACCUGGUAGCUUAGUAAGGGGACGAGGGCAAAGCUUUAGUGUAUUGGGAUCUGUAAGAGUAAAUGCUGAACAGAGAGGUUUGAUUGGCAAAAGUAAAACUUUUAGUGUAUUAGCUUCUGAUCAGAAUAAGAUAACUCAUAAUGAUAGUUUUGCGCCUCUUUGUUUUGAACCAAUAUUGGAAGGUGAUGCUCCCCUUCCUCAUCAUGAAGAAGUGAUGCAAGGCACUCAGAGAGAGCCAUGUGAAUCUGAAAAGGCAAAAAAAGUGAGAGGAACGAAUAGGUGUAAAAAUGCUGCAGGACUCAAAGUUGGAGAAAAGUUGAGCGUUGCUUUUUUGAGCUUACAUCAUUAAGCUUUCAGUUUUCCAUUGUGUUAUGGCAUAAAUGAUCAACGAGAUCAUGUCUUGAAACAUAUAAGAAAGUUAUGGAACAAUUGGAGAGGAUCGCUGCACAAGAAUAUUAAGUCUAAAAGAUGAUGCUCAACAAGAUGAUGCUCUAAAAGAUGUGCCAAAUGGGGUAGACAAGAGUGACUGGGAAUGGCUUGUCAAGGAGCAUUUUUUAACUGAAAAAUUUAAGGAAAAAAGUGCAAGAAACUCGAUCAAUAGGUCUAAGUUGAGUAUGUCUCAUCGUACGGGUAGUAAGCCAAUUAGAGAGAUCAUUUAUGAAUUGGUGAGUAAAUCUUGCAAACUAUUAAGAAACCUCAUCCUUGUUAACUUGUUUAUUUUUAAUGUGAAGGAAGGUAAAGAUGGUAAUCCACCAGAUGUGGCAACUAUCUUUUUUGAGACUCCUAAGAAGGAUGCCAAGCUUGUUUAACCUGAAACCAAUGAAAAAUAUGUUAAAAUCCAACAAGUGGUGCAAUCUGAAUCGUCUCUUACAAACAUUGAGGUUGUAGAGAGGUGCUUUGGACCUCAACGCAAGAGUCAUGUUGUUGGAUUUGGUGGUGGGAUAACCGCUAAGGAGUUGAAAGGAGGUAACUCCUCGAAAGCUGCAUUAUUAGAGAAGCUGAUGCUACUGAAAAAGAAAAUGAAUCACUAAAAGGAAGCUUGGAAGGGCUAGAGAGUAAUUAUGAUGUGUUAGAGAGUAAAUACGCACAUCUUGCAAGUACAAUAUUUGAUCAGACUUCAUCACCAUCAUCAAGUGAGCAAUAUGUUAAAUAAUUUAACAGAUCAAACAAUUGAAGUCCAAAGAA